AACAGAAAGAAUUUUCGCAAGAUUUCUGGACAGUUCUGGUGGCAACACAGAGAACAUGUCAAAACAAAACUUCGGAGUAAUUAAGCAAGAUUCCCCAGUGAGAGAAGCAGGGGCACAAGUUAAUCAGCAAGCACAGAUUAUGGGUUCAAUGAAUAAUAAUGAUACAAUGUUGCAUCAACAGCAGCAGCAACAGAGCAAUUUUUCCUACGCCGCUUCACAGAGUGUUUAUCAAAACCAAUCAAGGCCACCAUUACCAGAUCACAAUUCAGGUUCUGGUAUGGAUUAUAGGAUGGUGACUUCAAUGGGAAUGGAGCGAUUACCACAAAUGAAGAGUUCUAGUUCGAAUCUGGUUCGGCACAGUAGCUCACCUGCAGGGCUUUUCUCCAAUCUAAAUAUUGAAGUGGAAAACGGCUAUGCUGUAUUGAGAGGCAUGGGAGAUUUUGGAGCAGGUAAUAGAGAAACAUCUUAUUCUGCAGCUAGUAGGCCUCCUCCUUCUCUUCCUUCAGGACGAAUGAGUCCAAUUGCUGAAAUUGGGAACAAAAACAUUGGAAAAAAUAGCCCUGAGAAUAGUGGUUUUGGUGAAACUCGCAGCAACAAUUAUGUCACAGGUUUCCCAAUCGGUUCUUGGGAUGAUACAAGUGCCAUGUCUCCUGGUGCUGGUGUAAAAACACUAACAGAUGAUGAUAGGACUCUUUCUGGCCUAAAUGCAUUCGAAACUCUGAGCGGAGAUUCGAGAAAUCACCCUCCCAUGUUGGCUCAUCACUUGAGUUUGCCAAAAACCUCCGCUGAAAUCUCUGCCAUUGAAAAGUUUCUGCAAUUGCAUGAUUCUGUGCCUUGCAAGAUUCGGGCUAAGCGUGGAUGUGCCACUCAUCCCAGGAGCAUUGCAGAGCGGGUGAGAAGAACUCGAAUUAGUGAACGAAUGAGGAAACUACAAGAUCUUGUACCUAACAUGGAUAAGCAGACAAACACAGCAGACAUGUUGGAUUUGGCUGUUGACUACAUUAAAGACCUUCAAAGACAGGUCGAGACACUAUCAGAUAUUCGUGAAAAGUGUACGUGCACAAGCAAGCAGCAGCAGCAGCCGCCGCCNCUAGCAGAUGCCCAAGAAUGACUUGGUUAUAUGUAUAGAUUAUUUAGUAAGAAUUUGCAUAAGUAGAUGGUGUAAAAUACAAGCUGGCUUAUGUUUUGUACUAAAAAAACACAAAGAGAUAUGUAAUAGCCAA
This 1223-nucleotide unclassified non-coding RNA is filed under the name Hevea brasiliensis (rubber tree). The record is from RNAcentral. Lineage: Eukaryota; Viridiplantae; Streptophyta; Magnoliopsida; Malpighiales; Euphorbiaceae.